This 468-nucleotide ribosomal RNA is filed under the name uncultured bacterium. Its description in RNAcentral is "partial 16S ribosomal RNA". It matches the Rfam family "Bacterial small subunit ribosomal RNA", at positions 28 to 507 of the family's 1533-position model. The record is from RNAcentral.
GACGAACGCUGGCGGCGUGCUUAACACAUGCAAGUCGAACGGAAAGGCCCUGCUUUUGUGGGGUGCUCGAGUGGCGAACGGGUGAGUAACACGUGAGUAACCUGCCCUUGACUUUGGGAUAACUUCAGGAAACUGGGGCUAAUACCGGGUAGGAGCUCCUGCUGCAUGGUGGGGGUUGGAAAGUUUCGGCGGUUGGGGAUGGACUCGCGGCUUAUCAGCUUGUUGGUGGGGUAGUGGCUGACCAAGGCUUUGACGGGUAGCCGGCCUGAGAGGGGGACCGGCCACAUUGGGACUGAGAGACGGCCCAGACGCCUACGGGAGGCAGCAGUGGGGAAUAUUGCACAAUGGGCGGAAGCCUGAUGCAGAAACGCCGCGUGCGGGAUAACGGGCUUCGGGGUGUAAACAGAUUUGGACUGUGACGAAGCGUGAGUGACGGUAAUGGGUAAAGAAGCACCGGCUAACUACGUG